This 96-nucleotide non-coding RNA is filed under the name Jaculus jaculus (lesser Egyptian jerboa). The record is from RNAcentral. Lineage: Eukaryota; Metazoa; Chordata; Mammalia; Rodentia; Dipodidae.
GUGUUGUGUGGAAGGAGAGAAGGUUAGCACUCGCCUUGACAAGGAUGGAAGAGGCCCUUGGGCCUUACAACACGCACACAGAAUACAAGAAUAUAU